RNAcentral lists this ribosomal RNA (465 nucleotides) under uncultured bacterium. RNAcentral's name for it is "partial 16S ribosomal RNA". It matches the Rfam family "Bacterial small subunit ribosomal RNA", at positions 28 to 507 of the family's 1533-position model. The record is from RNAcentral.
GACGAACGCUGGCGGCGUGCUUAACACAUGCAAGUCGAACGGAAAGGCCCCUUUGGGGGUACUCGAGUGGCGCACGGGUGAGUAACACGUGAGUAACCUGCCCUUGACUUCGGGAUAACUUCAGGAAACUGGGGCUAAUACCGGAUAGGAAUCCUUGCUGCAUGGUGGGGGUUGGAAAGCUUCGGCGGUUUUGGAUGGACUCGCGGCGUAUCAGCUUGUUGGUGGGGUAGUGGCUUACCAAGGCUUUGACGGGUAGCCGGCCUGAGAGGGCGACCGGCCACAUUGGGACUGAGGGACGGCCCAGACUCCUACGGGAGGCAGCAGUGGGGAAUAUUGCACAAUGGGCGGAAGCCUGAUGCAGCAACGCCGCGGGCGGGAUGACGGCCUUCGGGUUGUAAACCGCUUUCAGCAGGGGCGAAGCUUGUGGUGACGGUACCUGCAGAAGAAGCACCGGCUAACUACGUG